GCCUCACCUCGACACUGGCUGAUCUCGGUGCCUUCACCUGAACCAAGCAACGAGGCUUAAAUAAACAAAUGCCACCUUUCUACAAUGGAGUGGCUCCAAAGUGCUGCAAAUCAUGCCUUACUAAAUUAUGAAGACCUAAAGAGGAGUUAAGAUAUCGCACACUACUAGCUAGGUGAAGUAUUAAAGUGAAGUGAGCUAUAGAGAUCCCAGAAGAUGGCAUUUUUUCGUCGAAAUUGCAGGAAAAUAUUGGUCGAACACAACGGUAUGGUAGACUGUUCGUCUGUUCCGCAUACAUGCUCUUGACUCUGGACCGCAAACUUCAAUCUGUUUUGCUCUUUCCUGGGGACAAUAUAGCCGUCAAAGAAGGAUGCAAAGUCAGAAAGAAAAGUGGAACACUGCAGUUUGCUUCAUCUAUAAGCAGUAUAGAUGGUAACUCCACUCGUACUCGUAGAAUGUUCGGUGGCUUUUGGUUGAGAUAUUUUAGUGAAGGCUUCUCAAGCAUAACCUAUUGCCGUUUGCUCUUUGCUACAAUAAAAUAUAUCUUCACUAGCAUCUAGGCACUACUGGAGUAUCAGAAAAGCCGAAAAGAUGUAGACCAUGAGUCACCAACAUUUGGUUGAUCGAUAGCCUACUGAUGAGAAAAAUGACACAGAUGAGAAAACAAUCGCGACUCCCUCCGAUUCAUAUUAAUUGUCUCAAAUUUGCUCAAAUAUGGAUGUAUCUGUUUCUAAAACGUUUAGAUAUAUGUCAUAUUCCGACAACUAAUAUGGAUCGGAAGUAGUACACUUUUUCCUUCUUUCAAUACAACAGUGUACUUUUUACUUGGAAACACUGCUCAGGAUGGUAUUUGCCGCAUAUACCUCGUAGGACAAAGUGACAAACACACAGCAAACUGAGCAAAGGAUUGCGGAAUCCUCAUAUGUGCCAGAUUAUUUCUGGUACAUAUAUAGCACUACACUGAGCAUGCUCUCACGAAUAAAUCAUUCAAAUCAGUCAUCCAGAAAAUUCACAAUAAGCUACAUAUAGUUGAAGAGUUUUCCAAGAUUUUUGAGCAAAACCAAUCCGAGACUAACAAACUAGGAAUUCCUUAACAACAAACCAUGGAAAAAAAUGAAUAAGCUUCACCAAGUAGGCCAUAACCAAGUUAUUUAGGGAGCUCGGAACAAAGUUAGCCUGAAGAACAGCAUCAGAAAAAUAAAGUGAACUUGCAGCUUACAUUUUUCAGAUGUGUUUUUCUUACAAAAAUAUAAAUUGCUGAUUUUGACUAGGAAAUAAGACUACAGUACACAUGGUAUAAACAAGCAAUCACUUU
Long non-coding RNA from Brachypodium distachyon (stiff brome), 1312 nucleotides. RefSeq lists it as uncharacterized. NCBI's taxonomy places the organism in Eukaryota, Viridiplantae, Streptophyta, Magnoliopsida, Poales, Poaceae. The transcript is spliced from 2 exons. The record is from RefSeq and is a predicted model, not a curated record.